GGAUGUGAGAGCGAUCUGGCUGCAACACCUGUCACCCCAUUGAUCGCCAGGGUUGUUCGGCUGAUCUGGCUGGCUAGGCAGGGGUCCCCUUCCUCCCUCACCGCUCUGUGUGCGUCCCUCCCCAAGCUACGUGCUCUGUGGAAGAGGAUGGCCUUCCCCGAAUACUGACCGACCGGUCUCAGGUCGAGGGUAUAUGAUUAGCUGUGCUCCCCUGCUAGAACCUCCAAACAAGCUCUCAAGAAACAGGGAAGUGACAUCCAAAUCAAUCAUCACCUUCUCUGAACCUAUCACUGACUUGGUUUUGCCAAGAAAUUCUUU
Unclassified non-coding RNA from Erinaceus europaeus (western European hedgehog), 318 nucleotides. Its record names the gene 7SK. It matches the Rfam family "7SK RNA". Rfam says of the family: 7SK was discovered as an abundant small nuclear RNA in the mid-70s but a possible function has only recently been suggested. Two independent studies have found that 7SK RNA binds the CDK9/cyclin T complex (known as elongation factor P-TEFb). P-TEFb activates transcription by phosphorylating the C-terminal domain of RNA polymerase II. The record is from Ensembl. NCBI's taxonomy places the organism in Eukaryota, Metazoa, Chordata, Mammalia, Eulipotyphla, Erinaceidae.